Molecule: ribosomal RNA, 902 nt
Filed under: Enterococcus faecalis
Lineage: Bacteria; Bacillati; Bacillota; Bacilli; Lactobacillales; Enterococcaceae
Description: bacterial SSU rRNA
Rfam family: Bacterial small subunit ribosomal RNA
Source: RNAcentral
UAGAGGUUUGAAUCUGGCUCAGGACGAACGCUGGCGGCGUGCCUAAUACAUGCAAGUCGAACGCUUCUUUUUUCCCGAGAGCUUGCUCCCAAGUGAAAAGAAGAGUGGCGAACGGGUGAGUAACACGUGGGUAACCUACCCAUCAGAAGGGGGAUAACACUUGGAAACAGGUGCUAAUACCGCAUAACAAUUUAAACCGCAUGGCAUAAAAAGUGAAAGGCGCUUUCGGGUGUCGCUGAUGGAUGGACCCGCGGUGCAUUAGCUAGUUGGUGAGGUAACGGCUCACCAAGGCCACGAUGCAUAGCCGACCUGAGAGGGUGAUCGGCCACACUGGGACUGAGACACGGCCCAAACUCCUACGGGAGGCAGCAGUAGGGAAUCUUCGGCAAUGGACGAAAGUCUGACCGAGCAACGCCGCGUGAGUGAAGAAGGUUUUCGGAUCGUAAAACUCUGUUGUUAGAGAAGAACAAGGACGAUAGUAACUGUUCGUCCCCUGACGGUAUCUAACCAGAAAGCCACGGCUAACUACGUGCCAGCAGCCGCGGUAAUACGUAGGUGGCAAGCGUUGUCCGGAUUUAUUGGGCGUAAAGCGAGCGCAGGCGGUUUCUUAAGUCUGAUGUGAAAGCCCCCGGCUCAACCGGGGAGGGUCAUUGGAAACUGGGAGACUUGAGUGCAGAAGAGGAGAGUGGAAUUCCAUGUGUAGCGGUGAAAUGCGUAGAUAUAUGGAGGAACACCAGUGGCGAAGGCGGCUCUCUGGUCUGUAACUGACGCUGAGGCUCGAAAGCGUGGGGAGCAAACAGGAUUAGAUACCCUGGUAGUCCACGCCGUAAACGAUGAGUGCUAAGUGUUGGAGGGUUUCCGCCCUUCAGUGCUGCAGCAAACGCAUUAAGCACUCCCCGCCC